This 507-nucleotide ribosomal RNA is filed under the name uncultured bacterium. RNAcentral's name for it is "partial 16S ribosomal RNA". It matches the Rfam family "Bacterial small subunit ribosomal RNA", at positions 28 to 507 of the family's 1533-position model. The record is from RNAcentral.
GACGAACGCUGGCGGCGUGCCUAAUACAUGCAAGUCGAACGCAUUUUCUUUCACCGUAGCUUGCUACACCGAAAGAAAAUGAGUGGCGAACGGGUGAGUAACACGUUGGUAACCUGCCCAUCAGCGGGGGAUAACACUUGGAAACAGGUGCUAAUACCGCAUAAUUCCAUUUACCGCAUGGUAAAUGGAUGAAAGGCGCUUUUGCGUCACUGAUGGAUGGGCCCGCGGUGCAUUAGCUAGUUGGUGGGGUAACGGCCUACCAAGGCUGCGAUGCAUAGCCGACCUGAGAGGGUGAUCGGCCACACUGGGACUGAGACACGGCCCAGACUCCUACGGGAGGCAGCAGUAGGGAAUCUUCGGCAAUGGACGCAAGUCUGACCGAGCAACGCCGCGUGAGUGAAGAAGGUUUUCGGAUCGUAAAACUCUGUUGUUAGAGAAGAACAAGGAUGAGAGUGGAAAGUUCAUCCCUUGACGGUAUCUAACCAGAAAGCCACGGCUAACUACGUG